AACGUACCUUUCAGUGGGGGAUAACGUAGCGAAAGUUACGCUAAUACCGCAUAUUCUGUGAGCAGGAAAGCAGGGGAUCUUAGGACCUUGCGCUGAUUGAGCGGCCGAUAUCAGAUUAGCUAGUUGGUGAGGUAAAGGCUCACCAAGGCGACGAUCUGUAGCGGGUCUGAGAGGAUGAUCCGCCACACUGGAACUGAGACACGGUCCAGACUCCUACGGGAGGCAGCAGUGGGGAAUUUUGGACAAUGGGGGCAACCCUGAUCCAGCCAUGCCGCGUGAGUGAAGAAGGCCUUCGGGUUGUAAAGCUCUUUCAGCCGGGAAGAAAACGCAUGGGUUAAUACCCUGUGUGGAUGACGGUACCGGAAUAAGAAGCACCGGCUAACUACGUGCCAGCAGCCGCGGUAAUACGUAGGGUGCGAGCGUUAAUCGGAAUUACUGGGCGUAAAGCGUGCGCAGGCGGUUUGUUAAGAUAGGCGUGAAAUCCCCGGGCUCAACCUGGGAACUGCGUUUAUGACUGGCAGGCUAGAGUAUGGCAGAGGGGGGUGGAAUUCCACGUGUAGCAGUGAAAUGUGUAGAGAUGUGGAGGAACACCGAUGGCGAAGGCAGCCCCCUGGGCCAAUACUGACGCUCAUGCACGAAAGCGUGGGUAGCAAACAGGAUUAGAUACCCUGGUAGUCCACGCCCUAAACGAUGUC
RNAcentral lists this ribosomal RNA (695 nucleotides) under uncultured bacterium. RNAcentral describes it as "bacterial SSU rRNA". It matches the Rfam family "Bacterial small subunit ribosomal RNA", at positions 123 to 813 of the family's 1533-position model. The record is from RNAcentral.